Molecule: ribosomal RNA, 374 nt
Filed under: uncultured bacterium
Lineage: Bacteria
Description: bacterial SSU rRNA
Rfam family: Bacterial small subunit ribosomal RNA
Source: RNAcentral
UACGUAGGGUGCAAGCGUUAAUCGGAAUUACUGGGCGUAAAGCGUGCGCAGGCGGGUUUGUAAGACAGAGGUGAAAUCCCCGGGCUCAACCUGGGAACUGCCUUUGUGACUGCAAGGCUGGAGUACGGCAGAGGGGGAUGGAAUUCCGCGUGUAGCAGUGAAAUGCGUAGAUAUGCGGAGGAACACCGAUGGCGAAGGCAAUCCCCUGGGCCUGUACUGACGCUCAUGCACGAAAGCGUGGGGAGCAAACAGGAUUAGAUACCCUGGUAGUCCACGCCCUAAACGAUGUCAACUGGUUGUUGGGUCUUCACUGACUCAGUAACAAAACUAACACAUAAAAUUAACCACCUAAAAAAUACAACCGCAAGGUUGAA